GUGAGGAAUAUUGCGCAAUGGACGAAAGUCUGACGCAGCCAUGCCGCGUGCAGGAUGACGGCCCUAUGGGUUGUAAACUGCUUUUGUAUAGGAAGAAACUCGAAUACGUGUAUUUGAUUGACGGUACUAUAUGAAUAAGCAUCGGCUAACUCCGUGCCAGCAGCCGCGGUAAUACGGAGGAUGCAAGCGUUAUCCGGAUUUAUUGGGUUUAAAGGGUGCGUAGGCGGAAUAUUAAGUCAGUGGUGAAAUCCUGCAGCUUAACUGUAGCACUGCCAUUGAUACUGAGAUUCUUGAGUACGGUUGAGGUAGGCGGAAUGUGUAAUGUAGCGGUGAAAUGCUUAGAUAUUACACAGAACACCGAUUGCGUAGGCAGCUUACUAAGCCGCAACUGACGCUGAGGCACGAAAGCGUGGGGAUCGAACAGGAUUAGAAACCCCAGUAGUCC
This 445-nucleotide ribosomal RNA is filed under the name uncultured bacterium. RNAcentral describes it as "partial 16S ribosomal RNA". It matches the Rfam family "Bacterial small subunit ribosomal RNA", at positions 354 to 796 of the family's 1533-position model. The record is from RNAcentral.